UGCCAUCAGCCUCGGUAAUACUGCGUGUGCAAUCUUGGCUCGGAAUCACUGGGCGUAAAGCGGACGCAGGCGGAACGUUAAGUUGGAUGUGAAAGCCCCGGGCUCAACCUGGGAACUGCAUUCAAAACUGGCGUUCUUGAGUUCAAGAGAGGGUGGUGGAAUUCCUGGUGUAGAGGUGAAAUUCGUUGAUAUCAGGAGGAACACCGGCGGCGAAGGCGGCCACCUGGCUUGAUACUGACGCUCAUGUCCGAAAGCGUGGGGAGCAAACAGGAUUAGAUA
This 279-nucleotide ribosomal RNA is filed under the name uncultured bacterium. Its description in RNAcentral is "partial 16S ribosomal RNA". It matches the Rfam family "Bacterial small subunit ribosomal RNA", at positions 506 to 784 of the family's 1533-position model. The record is from RNAcentral.